AUGAAUGAGGAAGUCGUACAGUGGCGUUUCACGGGUUUUUAUGGUCAUCCGAACUGGAGUGAUCGCAAUUUAUCUUGGGAGGAUAUUCGUAAUUUGUAUCAUAAGGGUAAUCAUCCAUGGGUGAUUCUAGGAGAUUUUAAUGAGAUUUUAUAUUCCUUGAAGAAAGAGGGGGGCAACGCGAGACCGAAUGGAAUGAUGAAGGAUUUUCGUGAUUGUCUAGCAGAAUGUGGCUUGGAUGAUAUGGGGUUCAUAGGCGACCCCUUUACAUGGAGGAGAGGUGAGAUUAGGGAACGUCUUGACCGUGCAGUAUGUAAUGUACAAUGGGUGCAUAAAUUUCCUUGGGCGGCUAUGAUUAAUGAAAACCAUGUACAUUCUGACCACCGGCCGUUAGUU
This 393-nucleotide ribosomal RNA is filed under the name Triticum aestivum (bread wheat). Its description in RNAcentral is "partial small subunit ribosomal RNA". The record is from RNAcentral. Lineage: Eukaryota; Viridiplantae; Streptophyta; Magnoliopsida; Poales; Poaceae.